UACGUAGGGUGCGAGCGUUGUCCGGAAUUAUUGGGCGUAAAGAGCUCGUAGGCGGUUUGUCGCGUCUGCCGUGAAAGUCCGGGGGCUCAACUCCGGAUCUGCGGUGGGUACGGGCAGACUAGAGUGAUGUAGGGGGAGACUGGAAUUCCUGGUGUAGCGGUGAAAUGCGCAGAUAUCAGGAGGAACACCGGUGGCGAAGGCGGGUCUCUGGGCCGAUACUGACGUGAGGAGCGAAAGCGUGGGGAGCGAACAGG
Molecule: ribosomal RNA, 254 nt
Filed under: uncultured bacterium
Lineage: Bacteria
Description: partial 16S ribosomal RNA
Rfam family: Bacterial small subunit ribosomal RNA
Source: RNAcentral